Molecule: ribosomal RNA, 228 nt
Filed under: uncultured bacterium
Lineage: Bacteria
Description: partial 16S ribosomal RNA
Rfam family: Bacterial small subunit ribosomal RNA
Source: RNAcentral
AAUCAUGGCUCAGGAUGAACGCUAGCUACAGGCUUAACACAUGCAAGUCGAGGGGCAGCAUGACGGAAGCUUGCUUUCGUUGAUGGCGACCGGCGCACGGGUGAGUAACACGUAUCCAACCUGCCCUUGUCCAUCGGAUAACCCGUCGAAAGGCGGACUAACACGAUAUGCAGUUCUCAGCAGGCAUCUAACGAGAACGAAAUGUGAAGGAGAAGGAUGGGGAUGCGU